Molecule: non-coding RNA, 76 nt
Organism: Myotis brandtii (Brandt's bat)
Lineage: Eukaryota; Metazoa; Chordata; Mammalia; Chiroptera; Vespertilionidae
Source: Rfam
GGUGGUUCUCAGGUGAUGAACCCUAUAAUCGGGCUCCCUCCUCUCUGGUUCCAGGAUGCAUCACCGGAGAACAGCU